GGAUUAGAUACCCUGGUAGUCCACGCCGUAAACGAUGAUCACUAGAUGUCGGGCUUCUACGGAGGUUCGGUAUCGCAGCUAACGCACUAAGUGAUCCGCCUGGGGAGUACGGUCGCAAGACUAAAACUCAAAGAAAUUGACGGGGGUCCGCACAAGCGGUGGAACAUGUGGUUUAAUUCGACGCUACGCGAGGAACCUUACCUGGGUUUGACAUAGGGAGGACAAGUCUAGAGAUAGACUCUUUAGUUUACUAGGACCUUUUUACAGGUGCUGCAUGGCUGUCGUCAGCUCGUGCCG
RNAcentral lists this ribosomal RNA (297 nucleotides) under uncultured bacterium. RNAcentral describes it as "partial 16S ribosomal RNA". It matches the Rfam family "Bacterial small subunit ribosomal RNA", at positions 775 to 1067 of the family's 1533-position model. The record is from RNAcentral.